Long non-coding RNA from Thalassophryne amazonica, 176 nucleotides. RefSeq lists it as uncharacterized. The transcript is spliced from 3 exons. Lineage: Eukaryota; Metazoa; Chordata; Actinopteri; Batrachoidiformes; Batrachoididae. The record is from RefSeq and is a predicted model, not a curated record.
ACGAAUAUUAUGACUGCAAUCCAAUUGCAGUACAGCUGCAGCUCGACCGCCGUUUGAUUGUUUUUCAACAUGAACACAACACAAGUGUAGAGUGCAUAUGCUCUGGCCACACAAAUGUGCCGAGUGCUGUGGAAUGCUGUACGAGGAUUUUGAAUGCAGCUCAAAUUUGCCUGACU